AAAUUACGUCUGUUGCACUAAAACCGUCAUGAAGGGUGACGAAACUGUGACCAGUACACCUGCCGUCGAUGCAGUUCUAGUUUACGGUCCACCGUGAAACCACAGACUUCCUUACCUAGGCCAUAUUAUUGAAGGAUAAAGUCGCUUCUGAGCAGUUGAAAAGAAGUAUCAAAACAAAAGGGACUUCAUCUCCUGGCCGCUUUUGGACACUUCAGAGAGGCUGUGCUAAGUACAGAUGACUAUUAGAAUGUGUGUCCUGUGAGAGAGGUCGACGUGCUGUUGGUAUAACGCCCAGUAAAACUUGAACAAUUCUACUAUGAGGACAUGCAUUACUGGGGAAAAAAAAAACUGACUUGUAACAUUAGAUGAUAUAGCAGCAAAUCCUACACAAGAUUUAGCUCUGUCCAUAUAGAAUAUACAUCUUAUAUUUUACACAGUAAGUUAUGAUGUCUGGGAUAUAUGCAGUUUUAUAUUAGAUGGUUGAAGUGUAGCAGACAUGAAUUUUAUGCGUUAUCCAAGGAAGAAAUUCUAGUGUUGGAGGAAGUUUAAUGUUUACAUUCAUUGAGUCAAACAGAAUUUUUAGCCAACAGAGGACAAAGUUGGAUGAUUACUUACAAAAAUAACUGCUUUUAUGAAUUUUUAAAGAGAGGAUUUGAACACUCCAGUGAGCAUUCAAAUCCUUCACUGGGGAUUGGAUCUAAGAUUUUCAGUGUCAAGUAUGAUGCUGAGCUGUAUAUUUGGCUUCCACAGUCUAAAAUAAGGCAGAUGGUUUGUCUAGUAUCACGAGAUAUUAUCUGACAGGGUAAGAAAAGCAAAAAGCAAAGGAGAAAAGGCUAAUUUAGCUAGUCAGUUUAUAAAUCUGAAUCCUCUAAUGAUAUUUAGACUUAGAUGGUCUCCAUUACCUCCAAACCAAAUCAAUGUAUCACAGCCUGAAGGGGAGAUCAGUUCUGUACCCCUACAGAAUUGUUGAGUAUAAGUAUAAAAAUUAAGUUUAACCAAACCACUAGCUAAUUCUGAAAGCACUUGCAAACUCUU
Molecule: long non-coding RNA, 1035 nt
Organism: Macrobrachium nipponense
Lineage: Eukaryota; Metazoa; Arthropoda; Malacostraca; Decapoda; Palaemonidae
Exons: 3
Source: RefSeq, a predicted model, not a curated record